RNAcentral lists this long non-coding RNA (798 nucleotides) under Cyanistes caeruleus (blue tit). RNAcentral describes it as "lncRNA (ENSCCEG00000001221.1)". The record is from RNAcentral. Lineage: Eukaryota; Metazoa; Chordata; Aves; Passeriformes; Paridae.
AUGAAAAGACGACAACACAGCAUACAUCUAGGGACACCUGCUGAGAGAAUAAAACACAAUAAACAUGAGAAUGCUAUGGGAAACUUCCUGCUGAGACUUCACUUAGACCAACUGAUAUCUUCUCCCUGCCUGGAGAAAACCUUUGUCCUCCAGACUGAAGACAGGCACUUAAAAGUAAACCUGUUUGGUCUGCCCCUAUUAACCAGCAGUGCUGACAGAGAAAAUUGCUUUUCCCCUGUGUUCAGCACUUGAGAACCAUAGGAUUGAGACUGUUUUUUCAGACUGCUUUAUUUUUCGGCAUCAUCCAAUGGGACAGGCUGAGUCACUACUUGAUUCUCAUUUCUCUUCAUGUGAAGGUUUCAGCUCCCUUGGAUUGCCAUGAAUCCCAAGCAAUGAUCCUGGUUUUGUCCUGACAGCACUCCCCAUGUUUCCAUUGGACUUCAUGGACUGACAGUCAGAGAGACUUUUCCCCUGGCUCUGAGCUCCUCUCUCUGCUCGGGAUGAUGGGGGAAGGCUGCCCACAUGGCACCACCUGGGAGAUUUUAUAUUACUUUUUGUGCUGCUCUUCUCUCAACAGGGCAAGCCCUUGGGGCAGAUAAGGAUGUAUUAAGUGACUGAAAGACAUGCAAUUGUCUCCCAAAAGGUGUCACUUCAGUAUUGCUGCAGAUGAGAGGAAACUUUCUAUUUCUGUCCUUAGUCUGAAAUAAUUUUCAUUGGGAUUGCUGAAGGUCCUUCUUUGCUGAAUGGGACCUCUGUGUAAUGCUAAAAUAAAUAUUCUGUUUAAUGUUCUGUUUCCCA